GCCGAAAAAAAGUCUACGUAGUUUAUGGACAUCGCCUAAUUCCUUACAUCCAGAGCGCUAUCUCGGCGGUCUUUGUAAUCGACAAGAUAGCGACUACGGUCGACCUUCCCUUCAGGAAGCCAAACUGGUUGCUCAAGAGACCAUUUACACCCUCGGUGUGCCUGAACAUUCUGUUGAGGAUGACCUGUUCGAGCACCUUCUCCGCAGUGUCGUCUACAAUACCUACAGGUCUCCGGGUGGUUUCCCCGCUGCUACAGUUAAGAAUUAGCGAUGAAUUUGUAAACCUAGAUAAAUUUAAGUGUACGCUAGAAAAUAAAAUCAUCGACUAAAUAAAUCAUGAGCACCCCCCCAUUGCUUGAAAUGUCAAAGGGUAUGGAAAAUUAUAUUGCUGAUUACCAUGACGUGCUAGGCCAGCAGCGAAGCUUCCGCCUAAACACACAGACGAACGGGACACAAAAAGAAAGCCGUCCGACCGAGCGGUGGUGAGUGCUCCAUAGUGCCGAAAAUUUUAUGAUCGCGCAGGCGGUUCGAUACCAGUUCUAGCUCGCGAAUGUGAGUAAUACCGCAUAUACGAGAAACCCAGAUACAGUAAUUGAUGUACUCCCCAGCAGACGACCUCUAUUCGGUACUUUCGGACUAGGCCUCGCACGAGCAGGCAAUUCGGGUACAGCACGUGGUGUUCACUGUGCCAUUCAUCAGAACUGUAGUUCGUUCAUCCCGAUCGGCCUCGCACCACUGACAUCGCAGCGGCAAGCAUCACUGGAACGAGCCCAACUCGUUAUCGUAGGCUCGUAAGACCAGAACGCGAGUAGGAACGUCGAAUUUCACUCCGGAGAUACUGCCAGAAGGCGGCAAGCAAGCGAAUCAGAGGAUACACUUCGACCGAACAAGCCCCGUAACCGGGGCUUUGUUCCAGAUCUCUCAGGUGUCACGAGCGCACUUGCUUCCGAGAGCAAUCUCCGGUUGACGGUGCUGGUUUUCCAACUGCCAGAAGGUCCGGCUUGAUUAGGCGCAGGAGGAGCGCCUGAAGCGAGGACGGAGACCAGACGGAGAGUUGAAUUUCCGAUCGCGGCCGACCUCCAUCUUAAGAAGGAAAAGGAACAAGCUUCCUGGCACAUCUCGCGUCAUG
This is a long non-coding RNA of Aedes albopictus (Asian tiger mosquito), 1129 nucleotides long. RefSeq lists it as uncharacterized. The record is from RefSeq and is a predicted model, not a curated record. NCBI's taxonomy places the organism in Eukaryota, Metazoa, Arthropoda, Insecta, Diptera, Culicidae. The transcript has 2 exons.